This 416-nucleotide RNase P RNA is filed under the name Deinococcus rubellus. RNAcentral describes it as "RNase P RNA component class A". It matches the Rfam family "Bacterial RNase P class A". From Rfam's summary of the family: Ribonuclease P (RNase P) is a ubiquitous endoribonuclease, found in archaea, bacteria and eukarya as well as chloroplasts and mitochondria. Lineage: Bacteria; Thermotogati; Deinococcota; Deinococci; Deinococcales; Deinococcaceae. The record is from RNAcentral.
GCGGGAAGGAACACGGUCGCGCCCUGAUUUAACCCAGGGUGAGGAAAGUCCGGGCACCGCAGGGCAAGAUGCCAGCUAACGGCUGGGCGGCGAGUGAACCGGCGUGCUUGAGAGAACGCACGCACAGGCGCGAAGCCGACGGACAGUGCCACAGAAACCAGACCGCCCGCCGCAAAAAGGCCGCUCUCACGGUGCGGCGGGUCAGGGUGAAACGGUGCGGUAAGAGCGCACCAGGCCCGGCAGAAAUGUCAGGCGUUUGGUAAACCCCAUCUGGUGCAAGACCCGACAGUGGAGGAGGGCGGCCCGCCCGUUGAUUCCCAGGAUGGUCGCUUCAGGAGCGCGGCGACGCGCCUCGCAGAGAGAUGACCGUGAUUCCGCAAGGAAGACAGAACCCGGCUUACUCCCUUCCCGCACCA